This 234-nucleotide ribosomal RNA is filed under the name uncultured Candidatus Saccharibacteria bacterium. RNAcentral's name for it is "partial 16S ribosomal RNA". It matches the Rfam family "Bacterial small subunit ribosomal RNA", at positions 584 to 818 of the family's 1533-position model. The record is from RNAcentral. Lineage: Bacteria; Candidatus Saccharimonadota.
UAAGCAGAUAGUGAAAGCGUGCGGCUCAACCGCAUAUCCGCUAUCUGAACUGCUAAGCUUGAGCACGAGAGAGGUAACUGGAAUUCCCGGUGUAGGAGUGAAAUCCGUAGAUAUCGGGAGGAACACCGAUGGCGUAGGCAGGUUACUGGCUCGUUGCUGACACUAAGGCACGAAAGCGUGGGAGCGAACGGGAUUAGAUACCCCGGUAGUCCACGCCGUAAACGAUGGAUGCUA